This is a long non-coding RNA of Oreochromis aureus, 403 nucleotides long. NCBI's taxonomy places the organism in Eukaryota, Metazoa, Chordata, Actinopteri, Cichliformes, Cichlidae. The record is from Ensembl.
AUAUGUUAGGCUAUGGUCUCUCUAUUUUUGGUAAUUCUACGCCGGUGGAAACCCAAACAAAACACACAAUAAGAGGCUCUAAUGCCUGCGUCUCAAUCUCACGGCUCAUGUCACCCCUACUUAGUUAGCACCUCAUACUGCAGUGCACCAAAAGCAGCCUCAUGAGCGCUGGGAAGGACAAGCCCAGAGCCCAGUGACAGUGCAGGAGAUGACAAGCUGUCCUGUGCCAGAUGUUCUGUUGACCCACUGUGAGAGGCAUCAUUUCAGAAACACCAGGAAGACCGAAACUCAUCGCAGGGAUCAAGCAGGGCUCGUGAUCUUCACCAGCAGCUCCCUCACAAGAGGGAUAAACCCAGCAUUUUAUGAACAUUGUGAUGAAGACCUUUGCUUUGUGUAAUGUAAA